UUAGGAAUUGACGGAAGGGCACCACAAGGCGUGGAGCCUGCGGCUUAAUUUGACUCAACACGGGGAAACUCACCAGGUCCAGACAAAAUAAGGAUUGACAGAUUGAGAGCUCUUUCUUGAUCUUUUGGAUGGUGGUGCAUGGCCGUUCUUAGUUGGUGGAGUGAUUUGUCUGCUUAAUUGCGAUAACGAACGAGACCUCGGCCCUUAAAUAGCCCGGUCCGCAUUUGCGGGCCGCUGGCUUCUUAGGGGGACUAUCGGCUCAAGCCGAUGGAAGUGCGCGGCAAUAACAGGUCUGUGAUGCCCUUAGAUGUCC
RNAcentral lists this ribosomal RNA (313 nucleotides) under Torymus sinensis. Its description in RNAcentral is "SSU rRNA". It matches the Rfam family "Eukaryotic small subunit ribosomal RNA", at positions 1148 to 1482 of the family's 1831-position model. The record is from RNAcentral. Lineage: Eukaryota; Metazoa; Arthropoda; Insecta; Hymenoptera; Torymidae.